Molecule: long non-coding RNA, 3017 nt
Organism: Condylura cristata (star-nosed mole)
Lineage: Eukaryota; Metazoa; Chordata; Mammalia; Eulipotyphla; Talpidae
Exons: 4
Source: RefSeq, a predicted model, not a curated record
GAGCUAAGCAGGCAUUCUGGGACAUUGAGGGAUAAGUAAGGCGCCAUGUCAUCUCUUACUCUCUCUCUGGGGAAACGGCUCUCCAGAUAGCGAGACUCCGGACUUUCAGUUAGGUUGUUACCAGAGCUCCAAAUCAGCCCAGCUGGAACAAAUGACUGUAUUUCUGACGCAGCAUCAGGAGCCACUCUUGUCCGGUUUGGAAGGGAAUUGCUGGAAUCCCUGAUGGUCACAGGGAUGAAGUGACAGAGACUGUUGCAGCCCCUGAUGUGUGAUGAGAAUUGACCGGAUUUGCUACUUUCUGGAUGAGAAUGGCCCAGAGGAAGAGCACACAGUGGAGAUAAAGAGCUGAGUGCCAAGAAAACCGAAUCUGCGGGUCAGCUGGGAUGCAGAUGAACAUCUGUGCCGAGAAAAGGAAGCCAAGGACCAUUUCUUCCACGCUGAAAUAACCAUACAGAAUUCUACCUCCAGAAAAGCUCUCUCUCUCUCUCUCUCUCGCCAUGAAUUUUUCUCUUAAAAAUGUCACCAACCCUCCCCCACACCCAAAAAUAUUGCUUUCACGGAAAUCAGUCACGUUGAAAGGUGUUGGGCUCUCUCCUGCCAGGAGUGUUUGUUUCUUGUUUCAGUUUUUCGAUCCAAAGGCCCAAGCAAACCCUGUGUUUUGCAUCCUUAUGAAACAUUGGGUUUCACUGAUCAGAAGUUGAAGCUGACAGUCAGGUUUUGCAAUGACAGGUACACAAUAAAGAAAUAUGUCCUCUUAUUCCUUUCUAGGCCAGAUUAUUUCACAACAAUUAUCUGAAAAUCUCCAACGCUCUCUGUGCUCAAAACCAAUUGUCUUUAUUUUAAUAAUUAAGUUGACGUGGCAGUGGGUGACAGCUGCAGUUGGAUUCCACGGCGAAGCCAGCCCGGCUUUCACUGUCGCCAUGGAGUCACCCUGGCUGGGUGUCAGAAUAUUUAAGCCAUUGAAUGUAACCAAAUUUGUAGUCAGGCAGGGCGCACAUUUCCAAGCAAACACACUUUGUGUGUGUGUGUCACACCACACACUUUCUCACCCAAUCCCAACGGCAUCAGCAAGAUCUGCUGUGCCCACAGCGACAAGAUACCAGCUAGAUGGAAAGGACAUUUCUUAGGAAGCAGUUUUGUUCCCAUCUAGUUCCCUGAAGCCCAAAUGAGGCCAACAUGGUAAGUUUUUUUGGCUUUGCAAUCCAUAUGGUCUCAGGCACAGUUAUUCAACUCUGCCCUUAAAGCGUGAAAGCAUCACAGACAAUACGUCAACAAACAGGCGUAGCUCUGGUCCAAUAAAACUGUAUUUACAAAAACAGGCAGCAGGAAGAUCUGGGUCCAUGGACUGCAUCAAGCAGUCAUCGGCCUGUUUUAUUUAUAACAAAACACAGACCACUUUCAUUUAAAUUCUUAAUCCCUCUCUGACUAUUGAAAUGAUGAAAUAUUAGAAGUGGGGAGAGAGAGACUGGGCUUCAAAAGUCAAACUUUGCAGGGUGAUUGGGCUCCAGGGCAAUCCAACUUGUAUUUUCCAUGGACUCUCCAGGAGAUACCUGUGCCCACGGUUAUCCAUGUAACAGAUGACCUCCCUGUAGUUGAUCUCAUUCGAUUCUUGUGACAAACUUGUGAUUUUUUUUCAGUGUCUCACCCAUGUCAUCAAUGCUGAGAGCAAAUGUAGAAUCAGGGUUUUCAACUUGCCUUUUGGUACCAGAGCUUUUAUUUUUGGGCAGCAAGCCAUUCCAUUUGGGACCUGAUUUUUGGGGUGGUGAUUGUGAUGGCCUAGAAGUGGUCCUAAUUCAGCUCUUGAUAGGCAAUUACUGUUAGAAGUGAAAAAGAAAGUAAAUAUUUUCUAUACUAUUAAAUUAAUGGGGACAGCAAGAAUGAAUAAUUUAAGGAAAAACAGAAACAUGCCUCAAAUUCUCAUUUUUUCCCUUUAAUAACAGUAUUUCUCUGCCUAAAUUAUAGAGGUAAUUGCCUCCAUGAUCCAUUUGGCUUCCCCAUGGAGACAACACCUUAAUAGUCUUUUAUGCAGGCCCCUGCAACUUCAAAAAGAGACUCAAAAUGAUUCACUCGUGGCCAGCUGGCAUUAGAGCAAUCUGUUAUGUAGGCUGUUGGCUUCUGUACAAUUUCACUGUUACAACUUUUAUUCCACAAAAAGCUAAAAGAAGAGAUAAACUGCAGCAUUAAGAUUUUUUGAUACAGACAUUGAGCCAUCAGCACAGGAAGUCAUGUUCAUGGAUUAUGUCUUUAACUCUCCUGUCUGCCCAAGAGCUAACUGACUUACAAUAUUACGCUCUGACUUUCAUCUCUGUGGAUGGAUUUUCUCCAACAAGAGCACAAUGUUUUGGAGAAACUGUCUGAAAUCUCUUUACCACAUUCGUCUAAGAUCACAGGGUUUACAAUUUCCAUUCUUCAGUUUCUUUUUCUUAAAUGGCUCUUUUAGAGAAAACCAAGUCAAAUGAUUGCAUGGUUGUAUGUAUAUGUAAAAUCUGAGAAUGUUGGCUAUUUCUAAAGGCUUUGGUGAUACUGAAAUUACAUAAAUAUUAAGAUUAUAGAGCUUCUUGUUAACAGAAAGUUAGAUGAAAUUGACUUGAUUGGGAAAGUCUAGGCAUAUAGGAGCACUGACCUUCACACUACAGAGAUCAUAUUGCUGAAAUCCAAGAUGAAAAACAAUCUGACACAUAUAGAUAUAUCUUUUCCUGUUCAAACUGAUGUAAAGGGAGAGAAGACAGACUCGGGAAUCCAACUGAUGGUUUACCGCGCGGCACUAAAUUUCCUGGGGUGCCUAAGAUCCCAUCGCUUGACUAUAAAAAUUGAUAUGCUACAAGGAGACAAUUUUAUUUUCUUAACCUAUUUAAAAACAGAUGGUGGGACAUAAACUACAAUCACUGACCAUAUCACCUAUUGAGAUGAGAUAUGAAUUGCUUUCCUAGUCUUUAAAAGUCGUGUCUCCAGGCCCUGCUUGGUGGUGCAACAGGUUAAAGCACAGCACUAAGAAGCUAAAGUCACUUCAGCAUGAG